This 460-nucleotide ribosomal RNA is filed under the name uncultured bacterium. Its description in RNAcentral is "partial 16S ribosomal RNA". It matches the Rfam family "Bacterial small subunit ribosomal RNA", at positions 338 to 795 of the family's 1533-position model. The record is from RNAcentral.
CCUACGGGUGGCAGCAGUGAGGAAUAUUGGUCAAUGGACGAGAGUCUGAACCAGCCAAGUAGCGUGAAGGAUGACUGCCCUAUGGGUUGUAAACUUCUUUUAUAUGGGAAUAAAAUGUUCCACGUGUGGGAUUUUGUAUGUACCAUAUGAAUAAGGAUCGGCUAACUCCGUUCCAGCAGCCGCGGUAAUACGGAGGAUCCGAGCGUUAUCCGGAUUUAUUGGGUUUAAAGGGAGCGUAGGUGGAUUGUUAAGUCAGUUGUGAAAGUUUGCGGCUCAACCGUAAAAUUGCAGUUGAAACUGGCAGUCUUGAGUACAGUAGAGGUGGGCGGAAUUCGUGGUGUAGCGGUGAAAUGCUUAGAUAUCACGAAGAACUCCGAUUGCGAAGGCAGUUCACUGGACUGCAACUGACACUGAGGCUCGAAAGUGUGGGUAUCAAACAGGAUUAGACACCCUUGUAGUC